CCUCAUUUCCAGGCGUUAGGCGUCACAUUUGUUUGUUUGUCCGCUGCGUUCGAUUUCCGCUUUGUCUUCGCAUUUGGUGUUGUGUCUAGGUCGUGGCGGUUUUUGUCAACGUUUGCCGCGAUGGGGCACGAACCAGUUUGGUGAAAGUUUCCGCCAACGGUGGGUAAGUGUGAAUAUUUUAAAACUGUAUCACUUUUUACGAUGUCCCGUCAAUAGACGUGGAGUGUCGCAGGGCAAGGUUGGAACCGAGCGUUGACCGGGUAAUUUGGGUCACUGUGUAGCUUUUAUUGGUGGCCACGGCCGGUUGAGGUGGGUACGGGGCAUGGGAAAUUUGGAGCUUAAUUUGGCGCGGAGGCCCUGGAUCCGGUCGCACGGAAACCGACAUUUAGCUUUGGCGGCAAUUGCAAUUGACAGGCGAUAUAGGUGGGUCACUUUCGCAAAUAUGGCUUCACGGAAAGAAAUCGAUCCGCUGCCUCAUAAACGACAUGACAACGACCGACCCAGCCGGCUCGAUGAUGGUAAGCGGAAAUGUAAACAAACGCGCCCGAAUGUUUGCAAAAGUAUUAAUGCAGCAGGCGAGAGUGCGGGCUCAGAACAAGCUCGGUAGAGAUUCUGCGAGAGUGAUGAUUUGGCGCUUUUUGACACCGCGCUGCGCAGCAAUGGGUAAAGUAGAUUUUAUGCAAUAAACAUAUUCUGUUGACACAACAUUAAAGCCUUCUCUCUCUACUGUUGCAGGAUUCGGGAAUGGGUUACAACCCCUGAGGGUAUCCCAAACCAGGCAGGAAGCCAUUGCGCACCUCCCCCAGCAUGCCGCUUAAGCCUUUCGAAUCGCUCGACGGAAAGGUUUCGCACACACGACGCAGGCGAGGAACGAACGCACCGGACCGACAACAGUCCCUGAAGCGGGAAUGAUGGCAACUCGUCGUCGUCGUUGUUGCUGCCGUCGCCGCCACAUCGCCAACAACGGUGUAAGUAAAUAUUGACUUUUAAUUAAAACCUAAUCUGAAGACCUCUGUUUGUGUGCGAGCCCGAGCGUGUUGCGAAUCGGAUGUAGACAGGACUAUGUGUAGGGAGAGGGAGAGUUGGGACUGUUUUUUUUCCCGUCACCGGGAGUCACCGAGUUGGUGGCGUGCGAUGCGCUUCCCGUUUGUUGUUCAUUGUGUUCCGAAACGGUUGGAGCUUCUUCAACGCGGCCGAUGGAAUGUUGCCUGUGCCGUGCUUUACUCGAAUUGUUGCCACCGGAUGUGGCGAUCUCGGAAUCAUCAACACCAUCCGUUCUGUGGGUUCUGGCGGGGUGGCAAACGGGACAGGGACGUCUGACGGGGGAUGACGAAUUCGGUUAUGGUCCGUAGUUUUCCAGCAGUUUGACGCGUUGGAUGUUGUUAGAUGGGCGUUUUUUUCCUUUCUCUCUCUCACUGUCCCAGGGUAGGUACCGUACCGUAUAGCUGCCACGGUUGGGCAAGUUUGUACCACCACACAAAGUCGUCUCGUGGGAUGGACGCAAUGGGACAAACACAACACGAGAGGAGGAAAAAAAACAGCGUACAGAACCCAGAACCUAUAUGUGUGUUGCGGGGUUUAAUCCAUGCACCGUUCCGAGCCGCUGGCCAAACGGUCACCACACUCGGAUCGCUCGAUGCGGUGGUACAGGUCCACCUUCAGCCGAACCGGACCCGGACCGGACGCCUUUUGCCGAGUAAUAGGCUUUUUAUUUGAUUUGCACUGCGCCAACAGUCGGGCCGGGACAGCGUGCAGCUGUGGUGGCAAGCUUGCUGAAGCAUACGAGAUUGAGAGCAGAUUGAGCGGCGAUAUGUGGAGCGGCACGGCACCGAUCAAGGGCAGACAUUAAGCUUGGGCUUGGUCGCUGAAGCUGCACGAACUCGGAUGUCCCUCCCCCACCCCCCCGUCCCCCUGGGUCGUUUGAAUUUAUCGACCGAAGCCCUCGGGAAUGGUGUGCAGCCUGCUCUGGUAAUGAACUGUGCUGUUACCUACCCGUUGCGCUGGGUCUUUGCAUAGGAAUCCAACCACAAUCGCAAAAGGCUGGCCCAGAGAUACGGAGUAGAAAUGUUUGCUCCCAAAAAAACACAGAACAAGUGCACCCACCAACCAACCAAAGUGCACCUUGGGUGUUUUUUACGGUGGCUGUAAUCAAAGUUGGACAAAAAGUGUUUGAAAAAGCUUAACUCUACCCCUCUGCUCGUGCUCAGUGUCGUGCACGUUGCAGCAAGUUAAAGGGCUUUCAGCGCCUGCACCGGUGACCUACUCGCCGAUGAUGGCGCUGAAAAGCUGAACGAGCUGAGGAGAACGCAUGCAGAAGGAAACGACCGACUCGGGAUGAUGUUUCUACCAUUUGCUCACACACACGGACACAGAGCUUUUGAUUGUGAAAGUUUGUCACAAUCAUUCCAAACACGGGCUGGGGGCCACGGUGCGCUCCCCAGCGCCCUUCCUGCACUGUACCGCAGCAGCAUGAAAUCAGAAGCCGCCACAGCAACGGCAACUUUUGCAACGUCUGCAAUUAUCCGCAAGCACGCCGGGCUGACUCCGGGUCGUUCUCCGGUGCAGCAGGUCCGUUUGGCAAAGGUAAAGUUUUGCUUCGCUGUGUAAAGCGUGAGAUUAUCUUCCUACCUCUGUUAAAGUUGGGCGCUUGGCUUACCAGUAACUGUCAAUCAGUGGGCUAAUUACAGACGACGCACUGUGUUGAAGCGAAAUCGGGACAAAUUGUACCGAGUACCACGCCCUGUGCUGUGAUUCGGCGGACGUGAUAAGGCGGAGAUACAGCUUUAAAGAAUCAUGGUGAUUAGAGCUAGCCGCAUAUCCAAACGAUGUACCUAUGCUCGCGAGACUAGAAUGCACAUGCUCUCUUUAACGGCUGUUCCGGAGUUCAUUGACGCGCCGGUCACGGGGUGACAUACGCUGAAUCUGACGGAAUCGUCCAUCCGAACGAUAAGAGGUACGGUUUUGAUUGCUCUUGACAUCCGUCAGACGGCCGAAAACCCGACCGGUGGCUUAUCUUUCGUCGGGUCAAACACUGGUUGCGGGUCUCGGGUCAAUUAAACUCGUACGCUUCGAUGAGUCUCCGGCAAGCCGUUGCAUUUUUGACCGCCUAGAUUGGAGUGUGCGUGUGUGUGUGUGAAGAACAUCUGUGGGACAUGUGGUGAUCGGUUAGCAAACAGGCAGCGAUUGUGAAGUAGCCACCGAGAACGCGCCGUCGCUGAUAAGGAGGAGAGAACCAUUGCCACCGGAUUGUCCAUAUUCAAAUAUGUCAAAUGUCGCGUUCGUGUCGGGCGGGGAACGAUGCGGGAUGAUGGGCAUCAUUACACUUUUAACGACCUUUCAUGUUCUUCCUUCCCUUUCAGUUCCCCACCACAUGCCGCAUUGAUAACUGUCUCUCUCAGUGUGUGUGUGUGUGCGGAGGUAAAACAUGGCCUCCAAGUGGCCUUCCCGCAAUAAAGCCCGCAUUUUAUUGCAAUCGAUUUUACCGCGCACGGAAGCCGCUGUGCCCGUUUUGCGGCAAAAUCGAUAUUUUUCGGCGUGUUUCGGCUGUUUGCGGCCGGUCCCACCGUCAGGCGUAAAUUGAUGAGCCACGGAGACGUGUUGACGGGGGAGAAAAAAGACCUGGCAGCCUAUCAAAUCAACCUUGAGGGGAUGAUAUUCCGAUGGCGUGCUUUUUGUUUGCGUUGCCUUUCGGAGCAUUUCACUUUUUCGCAUCGACCUUUGUGGCCCCCGAAGAAGGAAGGUGCGGCACGCUGCCGGCUUUCGGAUCGAUCCAGUAAAAGGGAUUGAAGGCUGAUGGAUAGCGAAAUAGACGACCGAUGAGGUAAGCAAUAUUAACGGGGUCCGCACGAAGAGCGCGCAGGAAGCAGUCGCACAACCCGGCACACCCGGCACGCCCGGCAGAAAAGCGGUCAACCUGAACGGGGGAGGGGCGGAGGGCUGGCGGGGGCGCUUGUGCUGACAUUGACGUUAUCGUGUCGCGUUGGAGGGAUGGUAUGAAAAAUGAAGGCAAGAAAUGGUCGCAUUAGUCGCAUCUCGAGACACCGGACUCUCUUCGGGCCAUCGGGACCAGCCAGAAGACCCUAGGCUUGUGCUUGUGUGUGUGUGUGUGUAUGUGUUUGGUGGUCUGUCAAGAUAAGUACAGCCCGAGACGGUGGCUAUUAGGGCUUUCACGUCAUGGCAUAGGGCAGUGGCAAGACGGGACGGCAGCAUGCCCAUAGGUACGCAGCGCACCCGACGUGAUGGAAUACCUCUCGAAGAAACCAAGGGAGAGGAAGAGAAGGGAAAGAAGGGAAAAUUAUAGGUGUAAAGGAGACAAACGAAUGCGUAAUGCGAGCACGAAACGGAAGGACCGGAGGAACCGGGGCAACCACCGUGUGGCCAUUUCAUUCGUGUGUGUGUACGUGUGUGUGUGUCGCGUCGAAGGAAUUGAGUUUUUAUUUUAAUUUCUUCCUUCUUUCCUUAGCAUUUGUGUACAUUUUUUUCUCCCUCUCUUUCUCUGUAUGUUCCCUUGCGUCUCCAUGGUCGCGGCUCAUUUCAGGUUUCUGUACCCAUUGCUUCCAGGCCAGGCUUCUGCUCCCGGCAGCACCCACAGACCCUCGAUCUAGUUCAGGUUUCACCGAGCAAUGGUAUCAGGUUUUUGCUGUCUUUCUUAUUUUAAUUUUUAUUACAUAAAGGUAAUAGUGGUAAUAAAAUAUAAACUAGUUUCUCGGUUUUUUUCCCUUUGCUUUCAGUUCAGCCUUUUUUCUCUCUCUCUCUUCUUUCAGUAUGCAUGCGUGUGUGUGAUGUAGUUGUCGUUCGAGUUGAGCUGGCACGGUGGAACUUCCACCGGCACGAUGCGCGCAUCAUAAGCGACCGCGCAUACGCCCGGUAGCAUGGCGUGGAGGACAACGCUUCGGUGGCUCUCCUCCACCUGGAGGGCGUCACACGAACACACGCAUAGCGCCAACCGAUGUACCGAUGCUGGCGAAUUAUCAUAUCGGAGGCGAUGGCAUGGGGGUCAUCUGUUACAACGCGCCAGCAAGAUGACGGGGGAAGGUUAAUUCGCCUUUCACCAGCGCGUCAUACACGCACUCUUUUCGAUCUCGAUUGUGUGACCGCGAAAGAAUUGGACAUGGAUGUGUGUGUGUGUGUGUUCUUGGGCACGGGAAUGAUGGAUUGUGUGGCUGGUCUGGCCAGAAGUCGGAGGAGCCACGACACACGCACCAGCCACGACCACGAACGAACGGCGACCCGGUUUCGGCGGAAAGUGUUGCGGUCGAUUAGUCUGUGGUUUUGUGAAGCUGUUUGCAUGAGGGUUUAGGUGUUGUUUGUUGUGUCUUUCUCCCCGUUGGACAGCGGAAAUCAUGAACCUACCCGUCCCCGGGCAGGAGGUUGACCUUUGCAAUGGGAAGGAUUCCGAUGACUCCGUUGUUUGUGUAAUUGCGGAAUGAAGUUCAUCCUUAAAGUAAAUAUUCAUUCCAACUAGAACACUAAUGACACCGUUCACGGUGCUGUUAUCAGGAUGUGUGUUGUGACUUGGACGCUAGCUAGACGACACACGGUGUUGCUCCAGUGCGGUGUAAUGUUUCGCAAACAAUCGUAUCCGCUUCCAAGAAAGCUAGUAGUGUACUGUUGAUAGUGCAUCGUUCCUAUCGUUCGUGCUGCACAUCGGACGGUGGUUUGCGGACGCUCAAAGGCUUUCGGUGCGACAUAACGGACCAAAACAUGUGUACGAAACUCGAUGAAACGUGCCGACCGUGAGUAAUGUGGCGUGUUUUUGUGUUGUCCGAACGACUGAAGACUAAUGGAACAAUACCUGGAGAAAGAUGAAGCGAUGCCGCCGAUGCAGCAAAGAGCCUUUCCGCGGGCACAUCCCUGCAAUCAUCCCACGUCGAUGGACACCCCGUAAUGAACCUUUGUGAGUGGAUGUAUGUUUCCGUCCGUUGUUGGCAUAAAGUGUAAAUUAAUUUCUGAAAAUAAUGUUACGAUCCCAAACAAACAGCCAAAACGAUCCCUUGCACUGCUGCCAGGUCAGUCCCUAACAAACAAAACAUUCACAAAAACUCGAGAAACUGAGCCUAUGUAAUGUGUUUUUAGGUCUCUUUAUUCGACCUCCUCCCGUACAAGUGCUCGGUGAAUCGUUGACCGAGUGAAAUAAAA
Long non-coding RNA from Anopheles coluzzii, 6138 nucleotides. RefSeq lists it as uncharacterized. The transcript is spliced from 3 exons. The record is from RefSeq and is a predicted model, not a curated record. Lineage: Eukaryota; Metazoa; Arthropoda; Insecta; Diptera; Culicidae.